UGUGGAGGGAGAUGGGCCUGGCUGCUGGGGAGUGUACCAGAGGUGAAGCAGGGCAGAUGGCCUAAGACAGGGUACUGGGGUUGCAACAGGGCAGCCUAUGGGAAUGCUUCCACCCCAGAAACACUUCUGGGAAACAGCUGGAUGGUUUCUUCAUUUGUUUGUACAAGUCCCAUGGACAUUUUAAAAAAGUACCAGGGUGGGUUUCAGAGAAUUGCCUACAGCACAGCACUUGUGUAUGAGCAGAAGGAUACCAUGAUCCAAAACCUGGGUCUGUUGCAGUGAUGAUUCUGGGAAGGGCUGUUCUCAGACACAGAGUGGUGAGUCGCAAGACUGCACAUACUACUUUUCCAAGUGUGGUGUGAGAGCUGAGUCGUUUCCAAGAAUACCUGCCGCAUCCAAACCUAGCUAGGAAGAGCUGGAGAAACUGUCUGUAGUGUUCACCAUUCCCCAUGUUGUCAGGAGUAGGGGCUGUCACAGACAUGGGCACGCAUACGCGAUACAUGGAUUUGAUACACCCUGGCCAAUUUGGAUUGUCACCAGAACAAGGGAUUUCUCAGAUACAGUCUACAGCUUUGUCUCACUACAGACUUUCAGAAAGAGCAUUUGCAGUUUCAGACAUCCCCUCUACAGUGCUGAAGGGGGCUCAAAUUCAGCCCAGAGUCCAGGCCAAUUUCUUCCAGUAUCAUCCCUGGAAAAAGCCCCUUCCCCUUACAGAGGGCAGCUGGGAACUGGUUACAGUCUCCCCUCAACUGGAUUGGAGGGGGCAAUAGGGAGCCAGUACAGAUCCAAAAAGGCAGGUGGUGCUGGCCAUGCAGGGCCACAGGCAGUAUGGCCAAGGGAUGUGUUGACUUAGGCCCAACUCAGCAAAGCUCUUACAUUGAUGCAUAAGUCCUACCAGCACUACUACUGAAGGGGGUAAUAUAUAUGCCAAGCAAAUGGGACUUCAGCACAUGUUUUGCUGAAUUAGGGCCUUAGGUCUUGAUCCAAAGCCCACUGAAGUCAGCCAUGGUCUUUCCAUUGACUUCGAUAGGCUUGGAUCAGGCCCUCAGUGCAUACCCUGAGCCACCUUCCCCAGCAAAAGGAGCUUAAACCUCAGCAUGGGAGGUCCAGGAAGGCAGCAGCCCAUGCUGGCGCUGGCAGGCUGCCAUAACUUCCAACUUCUGGAGGCUGUUUGGGUGAAUCUAGCCCUAAAUGCUUCAGAGAAAAAAAAAUCAUAUCAAUAUAUUUCCCUUUUGAGAGUUCUAACUCUCUCCUCCCAGGGACCUAUUUCAAGGGCUAUUUUGUAAAGAAAGCUCCAUGGUUGUAAUUUUCCCUGGAGCCACUUCCAGGCACAGCUUUCACGUUAAUGUGCCAUGACAAGCUUUUCCCUUUCCCUUGAGGCAAUGAAGGGUGAAGGUGUAUAAACUGGAGGUUAGAAGGUCAUUGGAUCACAGAGCUCGCAAUAUGUCCUAUGCAUCAUGUUGCUCUGAGCGCUACUAAACAAAAAUGCCAGGCCUCUGGGGACAUUCUAGUUCAACAUUAGGUUCCCCCCAACCAAAAAAAUAUAAAUCCAUUUAUAUUUUCUUCACUCUUGGGACUGGAUUCCUCUCCAACUUACACUGGUGCAAAUCAGGUUAAACUAGUAGAAUUCUACUGGUUAACCUCAGUUAAAACCAGUAGAAUUCUACUAGCGUAAAAGCAGCAGGAAUAAGAUCAGAAUCAGUCCUAAAUAUUUUAGAAAUAGGCCAUUCAAGUCUGAAAAUUACAGAUUUUAUGGCAGCCACUUACUUUUAAAAAGACCAGAAUUAUUAUUUGAACUGUUUUCAAUAACUAUAUCCGUGGAGAGAAGAAGUCUUAUGACACAGUGUUAUACAUGGACUAAAACAAUG
This is a long non-coding RNA of Dermochelys coriacea (leatherback sea turtle), 1868 nucleotides long. RefSeq lists it as uncharacterized. The transcript has 4 exons. NCBI's taxonomy places the organism in Eukaryota, Metazoa, Chordata, Testudines, Dermochelyidae. The record is from RefSeq and is a predicted model, not a curated record.